AGAUUGAACGCUGGCGGCGUGCCUAACACAUGCAAGUCGAGCGGUAACAGGCGUAGCAAUACGUGCUGACGAGCGGCGAACGGGUGAGCAAUGCUUCGGAAUCUGCCCAAUGAUGGGGAAUAACCAGUCGAAAGAUUGGCUAAUACCGCAUAAGUCCUUCGGGGGAAAGCGGGGGUCGCAAGACCUCGCGUCGAUGGAUGAGCCGAAGUCGGAUUAGCUAGUUGGUAGGGUAACGGCCGUACCAAGGCGACGAUCCGUAGCUGGUCUGAGAGGACGACCAGCCACACCUGGGACUGAGACACUGGCCCAGACUCCUACCGGGAGGCCGAGCGAGUGGGAAUAGUUAGGACAAUGGGGGGCAACCCGUGAUACCGGACGACGACCGCGUCGUCGUGGUAGGAAGGACGGGUCUCGGGU
This 417-nucleotide ribosomal RNA is filed under the name uncultured soil bacterium. RNAcentral describes it as "bacterial SSU rRNA". It matches the Rfam family "Bacterial small subunit ribosomal RNA", at positions 26 to 443 of the family's 1533-position model. The record is from RNAcentral.